UGGCGGACGGGUGAGUAACACGUAAGAAUUUGCCUUUAGGAGGGGGAUAACAACUGGAAACGGUUGCUAAUACCCCAUAUGCUUUCGAGUGAAAUGGAAUUUUCCGCCUAGAGAGAAGCUUGCGGCUGAUUAGCUUGUUGGUAAGGUAAUGGCUUACCAAGGCGACGAUCAGUAUCUGGUUUGAGAGGACGAUCAGACACACUGGAACUGAGACACGGUCCAGACUCCUACGGGAGGCAGCAGUGGGGAAUUUUCCGCAAUGGGCGAAAGCCUGACGGAGCAAUACUGCGUGAGGGAUGACGGCCUAUGGGUUGUAAACCUCUUUUUUCAGGGAGGAAUAAAAUGACGUGUACCUGAAGAAUAAGCAUCGGCUAACUCCGUGCCAGCAGCCGCGGUAAGACGGAGGAUGCAAGUGUUAUCCGGAAUCACUGGGCGUAAAGCGUCUGUAGGUGGUUUAAUAAGUCAACUGUUAAAUCUUGGAGCUCAACUUCAAAAUCGCAGUCGAAACUAUUAGACUAGAGUAUAGUAGGGGUAAAGGGAAUUUCCAGUGGAGCGGUGAAAUGCGUAGAGAUUGGAAAGAACACCGAUGGCGAAGGCACUUUACUGGGCUAUUACUAACACUCAGAGACGAAAGCUAGGGUAGCAAAUGGGAUUAGAUACCCCAGUAGUCCUAGCCGUAAACAAUGGAUACUAGAUGUUGAACAGAUCGACCUGUGCAGUAUUAAAGCUAACGCGUUAAGUAUCCCGCCUG
This 751-nucleotide ribosomal RNA is filed under the name uncultured microorganism. Its description in RNAcentral is "SSU rRNA". It matches the Rfam family "Bacterial small subunit ribosomal RNA", at positions 96 to 875 of the family's 1533-position model. The record is from RNAcentral.